CAUUAGUGCAGAGAGAGGGAUGAGGAUUUUUGGGAAGAAAGUAUAUCCAAGGCAGGUUGUACUUUUCGCUUGCGGGGACGACAACCUACGAUGUUCACAGAUCUAUAAAGAACAACCAAUCACCCCCCUCCGAGGAGCAGCUCCAAGCACUCAACCACUAUAUCAAAUCCUCUCGCCGCCCGCCGCCGCCGACUUAACUAUGGUAUGUUUAAUUACAAAAUUUGCAAUUCGCACCCUCAAAUUCAUACCGCUGCCAAUCAUAUUGAUAUAGUUUUGCCACGUUGUCGUCUGAAAAUCGAAUAUCGUCUCAAAUAAUCUUGUAAAUUUAUGCUUUUCAACCAUUUUUAAUUUUGUAAUUUAUGAUACCAAUUGUUUAGUAGUAAUCCAGCAUUAUGCUU
Salvia splendens (bonfire salvia) is the source of this 398-nucleotide long non-coding RNA. RefSeq lists it as uncharacterized. The record is from RefSeq and is a predicted model, not a curated record. Lineage: Eukaryota; Viridiplantae; Streptophyta; Magnoliopsida; Lamiales; Lamiaceae. The transcript has 2 exons.